This 478-nucleotide ribosomal RNA is filed under the name uncultured bacterium. RNAcentral's name for it is "partial 16S ribosomal RNA". It matches the Rfam family "Bacterial small subunit ribosomal RNA", at positions 28 to 523 of the family's 1533-position model. The record is from RNAcentral.
GACGAACGCUGGCGGCGUGCUUAACACAUGCAAGUCGAACGGUAAGGCCCUUCGGGGUACACGAGUGGCGAACGGGUGAGUAACACGUGGGUGAUCUGCCCUGCACUUCGGGAUAAGCCUGGGAAACUGGGUCUAAUACCGGAUAGGACCACUGCCUGCAUGGGUGGUGGUGGAAAGCUUUUGCGGUGCGGGAGGGGCCCGCGGCCUAUCAGCUUGUUGGUGGGGUGAUGGCCUACCAAGGCGACGACGGGUAGCGGGCCUGAGAGGGUGACCGGCCACACUGGGACUGAGGUACGGCCCAGACUCCGACGGGAGGCAGCAGUGGGGAAUAUUGCACAAUGGGCGCAGGCCUGAUGCAGCGACGGCGCGUGAGGGAGGACGGCCUUCGGGUUGUUAACCUCUUUCAGCACCGACGAAGCGCAAGUGACGGUAGGUGCAGAAGAAGGACCGGCCAACUACGUGCCAGCAGCCGCAGUAA